GACGAACGCUGGCGGCGUGCUUAACACAUGCAAGUCGAACGGAAAGGCCCUGCUUUUGUGGGGUGCUCGAGUGGCGAACGGGUGAGUAACACGUGAGUAACCUGCCCUUGACUUUGGGAUAACUUCAGGAAACUGGGGCUAAUACCGGAUAGGAGCUCCUGCUGCAUAGUGGGGGUUGGAAAGUUUCGGCGGUUGGGGAUGGACUCGCGGCUUAUCAGCUUGUUGGUGGGGUAGUGGCUUACCAAGGCUUUGACGGGUAGCCGGCCCGAGAGGGUGACCGGCCACAUUGGGACUGAGAUACGGCCCAGACUCCUACGGGAGGCAGCAGUGGGGAAUAUUGCACAAUGGGCGGAAGCCUGAUGCAGCAACGCCGCGUGCGGGAUGACGGCCUUCGGGUUGUAAACCGCUUUCGCCUGUGACGAAGCGUGAGUGACGGUAAUGGGUAAAGAAGCACCGGCUAACUACGUG
This 468-nucleotide ribosomal RNA is filed under the name uncultured bacterium. RNAcentral describes it as "partial 16S ribosomal RNA". It matches the Rfam family "Bacterial small subunit ribosomal RNA", at positions 28 to 507 of the family's 1533-position model. The record is from RNAcentral.